Molecule: long non-coding RNA, 266 nt
Filed under: Elaeis guineensis (African oil palm)
Lineage: Eukaryota; Viridiplantae; Streptophyta; Magnoliopsida; Arecales; Arecaceae
Description: long non-coding RNA (EGUI_LNC031564)
Source: RNAcentral
CGUGGGUUGCUUGUGGAUUUGGAAUUAGAAAGCGUGAGCUUCUGCUGCUGCUGCUGCUGCUACAGUCCCCCCCUCUGCACCAGCUGCAUCGCUACAGUAUUUUGUCCUUCUCUCUCCAUUCCCCUUUUUCUCUCCUUGUUUCUAUAUCCGUCUGUGGGCAUAAUUCUCUUUCUCUCUCUAGAGACAUUAUUCAUUGAGCUCAUUUUUCUCUCUAUCUCUUAUGCUAACCCUGCGGUUUCCUGCCAGCUGACAGGCCUGACGUACGG